CAGCAGCCGCGGUAAUACGUAGGGGGCGAGCGUUGUCCGGAAUUACUGGGCGUAAAGGGUGCGUAGGCGGGUAUGCAAGUCCGGUGUGAAAUGCUUCGGCUCAACCGAGGAGUUGCAUUGGAAACUGCGUAUCUAGAGUACAGGAGAGGGAAGCGGAAUUCCUAGUGUAGCGGUGAAAUGCGUAGAUAUUAGGAGGAACACCAGUGGCGAAGGCGGCUUCCUGGACUGAUACUGACGCUGAGGCACGAAAGCUGGGGUAGCGAACAGGAUUAGAUACCCUGGUAGUCCCAGCCAUAAACGAUGGGUACUAGGUGUUGUCACUUCAUUGUGGCAGUGCCGCAGUUAACGCAUUAAGUACCCCGCCUGGGGAGUACGGCCGCAAGGCUGAAACUCAAAGGAAUUGACGGGGGCCCGCACAAGCGGUGGAGCAUGUGGUUUAAUUCGAAGCAACGCGAAGAACCUUACCAGGUCUUGACAUCCCUCUGACCGGUAUAGAGAUAUACCUUCUUUUCGGAGCAGAGGAGACAGGAGGUGCAUGGCC
This 541-nucleotide ribosomal RNA is filed under the name uncultured archaeon. RNAcentral's name for it is "bacterial SSU rRNA". It matches the Rfam family "Bacterial small subunit ribosomal RNA", at positions 509 to 1050 of the family's 1533-position model. The record is from RNAcentral.